AUACCUUUCUCGGCCUUUUGACUAAGAUCAAGUGUAGUAUCUGUUCUUAUCAGUUUAAUAUCUGAUAUGUGAGCCAUUGGUUCACAUGAUAUUAAAUUAAUUUUUUGUGGGAAAGGGUCUAUAACAGUGGCUUGCCACUGGGAUUCUUAAGCAUUGUCCUUGCUUUGCACUGUCACAAGGGUCUGGUGCGUCCCAC
Non-coding RNA from Vigna angularis (adzuki bean), 196 nucleotides. The record is from Rfam. NCBI's taxonomy places the organism in Eukaryota, Viridiplantae, Streptophyta, Magnoliopsida, Fabales, Fabaceae.